Long non-coding RNA from Pipistrellus kuhlii (Kuhl's pipistrelle), 995 nucleotides. RefSeq lists it as uncharacterized. The transcript has 2 exons. Lineage: Eukaryota; Metazoa; Chordata; Mammalia; Chiroptera; Vespertilionidae. The record is from RefSeq and is a predicted model, not a curated record.
AGAUUGAACCCGCAACCUAGGUGUAUCAGCAUGUGCAGCUCUAACCAACUGAGCUACUCGGCCAAGGCAGAAGUUUUUAUUUUAUGUUUUAAUUAUCUGAAUGAAUCUGCCGUUUUUCUAAAGUUAUUCUAUGGAAGUAGUUCUCAGUUGGGAUAAUUUCUUAUCCCCAACCACUCAUACCCCAGGUGACAUUUGGCAAUGUCUGGGAACAUUUUUGGUUGUCACAUUGGGGGUGUAUUACUGGCAUCUGGUAGUAGGGGCCAAUGCUGUUGCUAAGUAAUCUACAGUGUAUAAGAGAGUCCCCCACAACAAAGAAUUAUCUAGCCUAAAUGUUAAUAGUAUUGAGGUGCUUCAAUGUCAUGAAUAACUUAUUAGAGAACUUUGAACUCUAGAAUAAGUUAUUAAAUAAGGUAGGCCAAAAAUGUUUAUUGAUUAGUUUCACUACAGAGAUUCCCCAUUUUGGCCUGUCUUCCCCUUCCCACAAACCACAGUAAAAUACUGAUAUGGUCUUCAGUGCUUGUAUUAUGUUAAAACAAAAGCUUUUUCUCCAUAGUUAAAAGUAUCUUUUUGGGCCCUGGCUGUUGUGGUUCAGUUGGUUGACAAUUGUCCCAUGCACCAGAAGAUCGCUCGGUUCGACUCCUGGGCAGGGCACAUGCCAGGUUGUGGGCUCCAUCCCUAGUAGGAGGUGUGCAGGAGGCAGUCAAUCGAUGUUUCUCUCUCCCUUUAUCUCUAAAAUCAAUAAAAAAAUAAUUAAAAAUAAAUAAAAUGUAAAAGUGUCCUGUUGGAAUAACUAUUUCAGGUGGCUGUUCGAGAUAGGAUUUUAUGAGAAUCAGCAUCUCCUUAUAGAUAUGGCAAAGCCAGAUGAUAAAAUUGGAUAUUUGUCAUUAAAAAUCUAUGAAUUAUGAUGCUUUCUUGAUGGCAUUUAAAUAACCUUAAAUUCUUUAUAGAAGCAAUCCAUUGAUGUAAUAUCUCUUUUUAUUUUAAGAGUUAUCUAU